RNAcentral lists this transfer RNA (66 nucleotides) under Amusiotheres obtusidentatus. RNAcentral describes it as "tRNA-Tyr". It matches the Rfam family "tRNA". From Rfam's summary of the family: Transfer RNA (tRNA) molecules are approximately 80 nucleotides in length. The record is from RNAcentral. Lineage: Eukaryota; Metazoa; Arthropoda; Malacostraca; Decapoda; Pinnotheridae.
AAUAAAGUGGCUGAGUUACAGGCGGUAGAUUGUAAAUCUAAAAACAAGGAGACCUUCUUUAUUAGU